This 497-nucleotide ribosomal RNA is filed under the name uncultured bacterium. RNAcentral's name for it is "partial 16S ribosomal RNA". It matches the Rfam family "Bacterial small subunit ribosomal RNA", at positions 28 to 507 of the family's 1533-position model. The record is from RNAcentral.
GAUGAACGCUGGCGGCGUGCCUAAUACAUGCAAGUCGAGCGAACAGACGAGGAGCUUGCUUCUCUGUCGUUAGCGGCGGACGGGUGAGUAACACGUGGAUAACCUACCUAUAAGACUGGGAUAACUUCGGGAAACCGGAGCUAAUCCCGGAUAAUCUAUUGAACCGCAUGGUUCAAUAGUGAAAGACGGUUUUGCUGUCACUUAUAGAUGGAUCCGCGCCGCAUUAGCUAGUUGGUAAGGUAACGGCUUACCAAGGCGACGAUGCGUAGCCGACCUGAGAGGGUGAUCGGCCACACUGGAACUGAGACACGGUCCAGACUCCUACGGGAGGCAGCAGUAGGGAAUCGGCCGCAAUGGGCGAAAGCCUGACGGAGCAACGCCGCGUGAGUGAUGAAGGUCUUCGGAGCGUAAAACUCUGUUAUUAGGGAAGAACAAAUGUGUAAGUAGCUAUGCAGGUAUUGACGGUACCUAAUCAGAAAGCAACGGCUAACUACGUG